GGGGAAUAUUGCACAAUGGAGGAAACUCUGAUGCAGCGACGCCGCGUGAGCGAAGAAGGCCUUCGGGUCGUAAAGCUCUGUCCUAUGGGACGAUAAUGACGGUACCAUAGGAGGAAGCCCCGGCUAACUACGUGCCAGCAGCCGCGGUAAUACGUAGGGGGCGAGCGUUGUCCGGAAUGACUGGGCGUAAAGGGUACGUAGGCGGCCAGAUAAGUCAGAUGUGAAAGGCAUGGGCUCAACCCAUGUUAGCAUUUGAAACUGUUUGGCUUGAGUUAAGGAGAGGAAAGUGGAAUUCCUGGUGUAGCGGUGAAAUGCGUAGAUAUCAGGAGGAAUACCAGUGGCGAAGGCGACUUUCUGGACUUAAACUGACGCUGAGGUACGAAAGCGUGGGGAGCAAAC
This 399-nucleotide ribosomal RNA is filed under the name uncultured bacterium. Its description in RNAcentral is "bacterial SSU rRNA". It matches the Rfam family "Bacterial small subunit ribosomal RNA", at positions 356 to 773 of the family's 1533-position model. The record is from RNAcentral.